AUGAUACAAGGGAAAAUUUCAAAAAUCUCCGGUAGUUUCGCACUUUCUCACUUGUGUAUUCUAUAGUUUAACGUGCAUCAAUUUGCCCUCAUGUGAUUUUAUUUUUAUCUUUACGGCAAUUUUUUUCUUAAUAUUUCGUUAAAUUAUAUAAAAAAACUUCAGAUACCUACAUAGAUUUAUCGAAUAUUUACAUUAGUACCCUUUAAUUUUAACUUUGUCACUGAUUUUAAAAAAAUAAUAAUAAAAUUGAUACUAAAAAGAGAAAAAUGAAACCACAGGGGGGCAAAUUGAUACACUUUAAACCACAUGAUACUAAAGUGAGAAGUACAAAACCAUAUGGAUUUUUUUUGAAGUUUUCCUAUGAUAAAAGUAUGGGUGUUGAU
This 383-nucleotide long non-coding RNA is filed under the name Ananas comosus (pineapple). Its description in RNAcentral is "long non-coding RNA (ACOM_LNC019074)". The record is from RNAcentral. Lineage: Eukaryota; Viridiplantae; Streptophyta; Magnoliopsida; Poales; Bromeliaceae.